CAUUUCUUACUUAAUUAAUUGUAAGUAACACCUGCUCAAUGAAUAUUUAAAUAGCCGCGGAAAUUUAACCGUGCUAAGGUAGCAUAAUCAUUAGCCUCUUAAUUAGAGGCUAGCAUGAACGGUGAAACAUUUCAAUUACUUUUUUAAUUUAUAUAUUUAAAUUUAAAUUAAGAAUAAAAAUGUUCUUAUUAAUAAAAUAGACGAUAAGACCCUUUUGAACUUUACUUUAGUUUAGCUGGGGCAGCUAAACAAAAAUAAUCUUAUUUAAAAUUUUUUCUUAAAUGACCCAAUAUAUUUGAUUAAUUGACCAAGUUACCAUAGGGAUAACAGCGUAAUAUCUUUUUAAAGCUCUUAUUAAAAAAGAAGAUUGCGACCUCGAUGUUGAAUUAAUGUAACUUUACCGAUGCAGUAAUUUAAAAAGUAGGUCUGUUCGACCUUUAAAACAUUACAUGAUC
Molecule: ribosomal RNA, 455 nt
Filed under: Argiope mangal
Lineage: Eukaryota; Metazoa; Arthropoda; Arachnida; Araneae; Araneidae
Description: partial 16S ribosomal RNA
Rfam family: Bacterial large subunit ribosomal RNA
Source: RNAcentral